AAUGAACGCUGGCGGCAUGCCUAACACAUGCAAGUCGAACGGCAACACAGGAAGAUCUUUCUCUUACGGAUGGCGGGUGGCGGGCGUGUGACGAAUGCAUCCGGAUCUACUUUGGCGGGGAAGAUUACGUAACGAAACUUACGAUAACACCGUAUACGACCUACCGGUGAAUUCACUUGAUAGUUGCACUUUGCGCGAUUCAAUAAGGCGAUGCCGGGUUUGCUAUAUGGCGGGGUAAAGGCCCACCAAGGCGACGAGCCGCAGCCGGGCUGAGAGGUUGAUCAGCCACACUGGAACGGAGACACGGCCCAGACUCCUACGGGAGGCAGCAGUGGGGAAUAUUGGACAAAGGGCGCAAGCCUGAUCCAGCCAUCCCGCGUGGGUGAAGAAGGCCUUCGGGUUGUAAAGCCCUUUUGUUGGGAAAGAAAAGCAGCAGGUUAAUACACCGCUGUUCUGACGGUACCCAAAGAAUAAGCACCGGCUAACUUCGUG
Molecule: ribosomal RNA, 492 nt
Filed under: uncultured bacterium
Lineage: Bacteria
Description: partial 16S ribosomal RNA
Rfam family: Bacterial small subunit ribosomal RNA
Source: RNAcentral